AGUGAACGCUGGCGGUAGGCCUAACACAUGCAAGUCGAACGGCAGCACAGGAGAGCUUGCUCUCUGGGUGGUGAGUGGCGGACGGGUGAGGAAUACAUCGGAAUCUACUUUUUCGUGGGGGAUAACGUAGGGAAACUUACGCUAAUACCGCAUACGACCUACGGGUGAAAGCAGGGGACCUUCGGGCCUUGCGCGAUUGAAUGAGCCGAUGUCGGAUUAGCUAGUUGGCGGGGUAAAGGCCCACCAAGGCGACGAUCCGUAGCUGGUCUGAGAGGAUGAUCAGCCACACUGGAACUGAGACACGGUCCAGACUCCGAUGGGAGGCAGCAGUGGGGAAUAUUGGACAAUGGGCGCAAGCCUGAUCCAGCCAUACCGCGUGGGUGAAGAAGGCCUUCGGGUUGUAAAGCCCUUUUGUUGGGAAAGAAAUCCAGCUGGCUAAUACCCGGUUGGGAUGACGGUACCCAAAGAAUAAGCACCGGCUAACUUCGUGCCAGCCGCCGCAGUAA
This 506-nucleotide ribosomal RNA is filed under the name uncultured bacterium. RNAcentral's name for it is "partial 16S ribosomal RNA". It matches the Rfam family "Bacterial small subunit ribosomal RNA", at positions 29 to 523 of the family's 1533-position model. The record is from RNAcentral.